CAGGAUGAACGCUAGCGACAGGCUUAACACAUGCAAGUCGAGGGGCAGCAUAGAAGUAGCAAUACUUGGUGGCGACCGGCGCACGGGUGAGUAACGCGUAUGCAACCUACCUAUCAGAGGGGAAUAACCCGGCGAAAGUCGGACUAAUACCGCAUAAAACAGGGGCACCGCAUGGUGAUAUUUGUUAAAGAAAUUCGCUGAUAGAUGGGCAUGCGUUCCAUUAGGUAGUUGGUGAGGUAACGGCUCACCAAGCCGACGAUGGAUAGGGGAACUGAGAGGUUGGUCCCCCACACUGGUACUGAGACACGGACCAGACUCCUACGGGAGGCAGCAGUGAGGAAUAUUGGUCAAUGGGCGGGAGCCUGAACCAGCCAAGUCGCGUGGAAAAGGAAGAAGGAUCUAUGGUUCGUAAACUUCUUUUGCAGGGGAAUAAAGUGCAGGACGUGUCCUGUUUUGUAUGUACCCUGAGAAUAAGGAUCGGCUAACUCCGUGCCAGCAGCAGC
This 503-nucleotide ribosomal RNA is filed under the name uncultured bacterium. RNAcentral describes it as "bacterial SSU rRNA". It matches the Rfam family "Bacterial small subunit ribosomal RNA", at positions 25 to 518 of the family's 1533-position model. The record is from RNAcentral.